GUGCUCACUUCAGAAGCACAUACACUGACAUUGGAAGGUUCCAGAGAAGAUUAGGAUGGCCCCCGCACAAAGAUGACAUGAACAUCUGUGAAAUAUUUCAUCUGAGG
This is a small nuclear RNA of Sorex araneus (European shrew), 107 nucleotides long. The record is from Ensembl. Lineage: Eukaryota; Metazoa; Chordata; Mammalia; Eulipotyphla; Soricidae.